MicroRNA precursor from Gorilla gorilla gorilla (western lowland gorilla), 89 nucleotides. NCBI's taxonomy places the organism in Eukaryota, Metazoa, Chordata, Mammalia, Primates, Hominidae. The record is from Ensembl.
UGAUAUGGAAGAAAUCCAGAAGUGGCUAAUAAUAUUGACACUAUAACAAUAAUGACAAUAUUAUUAGCCACUUCUGGAUUUAUGAAUCA